GCAGAGAUCAACCAUGACAGUGGGACUUCAAAAUGGUUAUUCAACGUUACUCUAAGUGUUCCAGAUUCAGGCUUAUCUCCAGGUGCUGCGGCAGGAAUAUCUGUCAUCGUUCUUCUGCUGGUGUUUGCAGGAGCAGCAGCUUUUGUGUUUUACCAUCGCCACAAAUUUCUUCCUAAAAAGGAGGCGCAAAAAGGAGAGUUCUCUGUUCAACAAUGUCAGAUGUGUAAG
Molecule: long non-coding RNA, 228 nt
Organism: Danio aesculapii
Lineage: Eukaryota; Metazoa; Chordata; Actinopteri; Cypriniformes; Danionidae
Exons: 3
Source: RefSeq, a predicted model, not a curated record